GUGCAUCAUAUUGCAUUCAUGCAUCUCAUCAUGUCACUUUUGGUUCUUAUAAAAAUUGCAUUUGGUUUUAUUUUGUCAUUUCAUCUUUUAUGUGUGAUUUUCUAUCUCUCUUUGUUUUACCUCUAUCUCACUUGAGAUGUUCCAAUCUAAAGCCUGCCUAUCCUAUUCCUAAUACUUGACCACUUUCAAAAAGGUCAUGCCAAAACUUCCAUUCUUAUGGGUUAUUAUUAUUACCCCUCUCCUAUAUCUUCUAUUUUAUAAUUAAUCAAUAUAAUAAAUAUUUUUGCAAUGGAAAAUGGUUUUGUUUUGGUUACAUAUAAAACAACAUUGCAUACAGAUUAUUUUACCAAUCUCUCUCUUCUCUUUUUCCACAUUCAGUUUUGCUAAAAAAUAUGGUUCGGUCAAAAAUCUGAGAAGUUUUGGAAGUAAAGGGGAAAAAGAAAACAAAGCUAACCUAUCUACUCUAACCAGCCCAGCCUUUACCUGUUGACCGAGCGAGGAGUCCUCUGUUUUUCCUCCAGCACGUGAACAAGGAUGAGGAAAGCGUGAGCAUCUCCUUCCCUUUCCUUUUCCCUUUCUCCUCAAUUGAACCAGAGCAAAACCCUAGGCUCCCUCUUCCCCUUGUGCCGCCGCUGCCUCCUCUGCUCCUCCAAGCGCCCAGCCAGAACCACAUCCGAGAGCCACCAAAAGUUUCGCCGGAGAAGACCAAGACCGCGCCGUCGAACCAAACCGCUGCGUCGCCGUCCGAGCGCGGGGAUGGAGCCGCCGUGGCGUCCUCUUCCUCCUCGCUGAACCGGAGCCGGAGCUGCUCAAGAACGCCGCCGCCGCCGCCAAGACGUACCGGGAGCGCCGCCGUGCACGCCGACGACCUCCGCUUCGCCCCGCCGUCGUCUCCAUCCUCCCCAACCUUCUCCCUCGACGUGCUCGUCGUUUGUGGCGUCGGAACCUCAACAUCGUCGAUCUUGGUCGAGCUGCGCCAUCCUUCACUCAAAAGGGUCGAGCCCCUCUUCAGUCAUCAGUUAAUCUAGCAGUUCGCCUGUUCCAUCUGCACCGAAGACGCCGGUACCGAGGAGUACGGUGAGGAGUACGACUACUACCCCGAGGAGGAUCGUGCCAGUUUCUCUUCUUCUGACUUGACAGGCGAGCACUUUUUCCCUGCUACCUAUUUUCUGCUUUGCCUCUUUACCUUACUGCUGUACUGGUGUGCCGUUCUUGUCACGAAUCCUAUCGCAUGUUACCUAAUGCAAGCCAUAGACCCAUACAUAUAUCCUACAGCUAUUGUUUGGUUACAGGGUCAGCCAUGCGAGUCGUAGGCUUGCUUAGUACCGUUGUUAUAUGUUGUCACUAUUAUCGCUAUCGCCACUGUUAUCUAGUUGGGUUAUAUCUGUUGGGGGGUUCCGAGAUACAUGGUUAUGGUUAUAUCUGUUCGAUAAGAUCACACCUUACUUAUUCAUGCUAAUAAUAAAAUUGUUAAGUAGAGGCAUCGG
Molecule: non-coding RNA, 1487 nt
Organism: Lolium perenne
Lineage: Eukaryota; Viridiplantae; Streptophyta; Magnoliopsida; Poales; Poaceae
Source: RefSeq, a predicted model, not a curated record